Molecule: ribosomal RNA, 406 nt
Filed under: uncultured bacterium
Lineage: Bacteria
Description: partial 16S ribosomal RNA
Rfam family: Bacterial small subunit ribosomal RNA
Source: RNAcentral
AUUGAACGCUGGCGGCAGGCCUAACACAUGCAAGUCGAGCGAGUGGCGGACGGGUGAGUAAUGUCUGGGAAACUGCCUGAUUGAGGGGGAUAACUACUGGAAACGGUAGCUAAUACCGCAUACCAUCGGAUGUGCCCAGAUGGGAUUAGCUAGUUGGUGGGGUAAAGGCUCACCAAGGCGACGAUCCCUAGCUGGUCUGAGAGGAUGACCAGCCACACUGGGACUGAGACACGGUCCAGACUCCUACGGGAGGCAGCAGUGGGGAAUAUUGCACAAUGGGCGCAAGCCUGAUGCAGCCAUGCCGCGUGUAUGAAGAAGGCCUUAGGGUUGUAAAGUACUUUCAGCGGGGAGGCGUUACCCGCAGAAGAAGCACCGGCUAACUCCGUGCCAGCAGCCGCGGUAAUAC